CCCGGCACCUCUGGCCAGGGCUGCUCACGCUGCCCAGCCGAGCAGAACCCUUUGGGCACUGGCUGGCACUGGCCUCCACUCCCUUCCUUCCUGCCACAGGCAUUUGGGAGAUACCUCAGGCCAGCUGAGAGGACGGGCAUCGUCCUUGUGGCCAUCGAGAUCCUGGGCCGCUCCAGCCUCCUGGACAAGAAGGCACCCAAGGAGUUUCUGGAGGUGGCCAUGGAAUCCCCUCAGCUGUGGCUGAUGGAUGUGCCAAAAAUUGUGAGACACAUCUUUGCAUACUAUGAUGAAACAAAUGCAGCAACUGCUCACAGCUUUCCCACACUGCUUGACCUGAUGGCCAAUAAGUGGCCUCGGCGAGUCGUCGCGACAGCUCUGGAGGUCGCGCCAAUAUCCUGCGACAAAGUCUGUCUGUGGAAGGCCAUGUUCUCCGUGCGCCAGACUCUGGAGAAGGUUUUGAAAGAGCUGCACAUCAAACUGCAGGAUGGGCAGAAGGACAUCUUCACUCAGCAGCAGAAGUCCUGCCUCACUUUCUUGGCUGUGAGUCAUCAGGAAAAGCCCAUGUGCCCUUGCCCUCUGCUGUCAGUAGGAAGCAGGAGCUGUGCCAGGACAGCCCUGCCAGCUCUACUCGGGCUCUCUGCCGCUUUCUUCCAGAUGCUGGCCUCUGAUGAUGUGGAAGAAGAGGAACUGGAUCCAUUGUACAAAGACUUGAGAAUUCUGAUGCAUUCAGGAAUCGAAAUGGUCCCUCUGGUGCUCAGGGCCCUUUUGACGCUGUCGGAGAGAGCUGAGACGGCAAGAAAAAUGAAGCGCGUCCUCCGAGAGUUGCUGAAAAUCCGGUGGGAAUGGUCUUGGGACAUUUCAGUGAUGGUUAUGGACAUCUUCCAAAAUGUACUGGGGCACCUGAAGAAGACAGAGGCCAGCCCCAUUGCUGUGAAGGUGGUGCAGAGGCUCUGGUACCUCUUUGAUGCGAAGGAAGACUGUGUGCGGGAGCACUCCAUCCGCCUCUUCAGAGACCUGCUGGGCAAAACAGUGUGUGUGGACAAGUAUGUCAUGAAGAAAUAUGCCUGGAAGGCCCUGGUCUGCCUCCUGCUUCACAUGAGUGAUGAGGCCCCCAGCGUGGCCAAGGCAUCUACAGAAGCCGUCCUGGCUAUAGCAGAGCUCCUCAAGUGGAAAGAGCUCAAGCAGCUGGCGCAGAUGGAGCAGACGUGGAGGAUGGGCGAGUGCUUGUUGGCCAAGGACAGCAGCAGGGCCGAACAGUUUGUGUGGGACAGCCAGCGCUACCUGUGGAGCCCUCAGGCCCCCAUGCGAGAGGCGGCCCUCAGGUUCAUUGAGCUUGACAGACUGCAAACAGGAGACAAGGAUCCCGCCAUCUGUUCCCUGGCAGCUCAGACCAGCUUGGUCCUGAAGUCUCCAAGGAAGCAGCGAAGAUCAGGAUUCUCCCUGCGUGCGCUGUGCUGCUGGUGCCGCUGAGCAGAGAGGGACCUUGAUCCUGGUCAAAAUGAGGACAGAGGUGCUGCCUGUGGAGAGAUCCAGAUCCCAGGCCUGGGGAAGCUGCUGGCACAUCCAUUCAAGUCACUCAAGAGAGAAGUGACCACUUUAUGGCUCUGGAUGCUCUCUGUGCCCACUUCAAGUUCAUCUGUCAGCAGAAAGGUAAGAGAAGCUGUGGUGGGCUGCAUCCCUGCGCACGGCCACAUCCCCCCGAUGCAUCUGCUCGUCUUCCCGGGCCUUGCGAUGGCCCCUUCUGUGCAGACACGGGGCUCAUGUGGGCUCUGCUUCUGUCACAGAACUUGAACUACUGCGGGCCAGAGAGAAGGAUCCUGGGCGCUCAGACCCGCCUGCCUAAAAUCCUGCGAGAGGACUCGGUGUGCCUGGAUCCAAGCCCAGCCACAGACCUGUCCAAACUGUAUAUAGUUCUAGAAAGUUAAUUACCCUAUAUAUAUC
Long non-coding RNA from Corvus moneduloides (New Caledonian crow), 1941 nucleotides. The record is from Ensembl. Lineage: Eukaryota; Metazoa; Chordata; Aves; Passeriformes; Corvidae.